This 763-nucleotide ribosomal RNA is filed under the name Prevotella nigrescens. RNAcentral describes it as "bacterial SSU rRNA". It matches the Rfam family "Bacterial small subunit ribosomal RNA", at positions 28 to 776 of the family's 1533-position model. The record is from RNAcentral. Lineage: Bacteria; Pseudomonadati; Bacteroidota; Bacteroidia; Bacteroidales; Prevotellaceae.
GAUGAACGCUGGCUACAGGCUUAACACAUGCAAGUCGUGGGGAAACGGCAUUAUGUGCUUGCACAUUCUGGACGUCGACCGGCGCACGGGUGAGUAUCGCGUAUCCAACCUGCCCCUUACUUGGGGAUACCCCGUUGAAAGACGGCCUAAUACCCGAUGUGUUUCAUUGACGGCAUCCGAUAUGAAACAAAGGUUUUUCCGGUAAGGGAUGGGGAUGCGUCUGAUUAGCUUGUUGGCGGGGCAACGGCCCACCAAGGCGACGAUCAGUAGGGGUUCUGAGAGGAAGGUCCCCCACAUUGGAACUGAGACACGGUCCAAACUCCUACGGGAGGCAGCAGUGAGGAAUAUUGGUCAAUGGACGCAAGUCUGAACCAGCCAAGUAGCGUGCAGGAUGACGGCCCUAUGGGUUGUAAACUGCUUUUAUGUGGGAAUAAAGUGGCGCACGUGUGCGCCAUUGCAUGUACCUCAUGAAUAAGGACCGGCUAAUUCCGUGCCAGCAGCCGCGGUAAUACGGAAGGUCCGGGCGUUAUCCGGAUUUAUUGGGUUUAAAGGGAGUGUAGGCGGUCUGUUAAGCGUGUUGUGAAAUUUAGGUGCUCAACAUUUAACUUGCAGCGCGAACUGUCAGACUUGAGUACACGCAGCGCAGGCGGAAUUCAUGGUGUAGCGGUGAAAUGCUUAGAUAUCAUGAGGAACUCCGAUCGCGAAGGCAGCCUGCGGGAGUGUUACUGACGCUUAAGCUCGAAAGGUGCGGGUAUCGAACAGG